RNAcentral lists this ribosomal RNA (346 nucleotides) under uncultured bacterium. Its description in RNAcentral is "bacterial SSU rRNA". It matches the Rfam family "Bacterial small subunit ribosomal RNA", at positions 917 to 1264 of the family's 1533-position model. The record is from RNAcentral.
GGGCCCGCACAAGCGGUGGAGCAUGUGGUUUAAUUCGAUGAUACGCGAGGAACCUUACCAGGGUUUAAAUGCAGAACGACAGGGGUGGAAACACCCCCUUCUUCGGACGGACUGCAAGGUGCUGCAUGGUUGUCGUCAGCUCGUGCUGUGAAGUGUCGGGUUAAGUCCCAUAACGAGCGCAACCCCCAUUUCUAGUUGCCAGCGGUUCGGCCGGGGACUCUAGAGAAACUGCCAGCGUAAGCUGUGAGGAAGGUGGGGGAUGGACGUCAAAUCAUCACGGCCCUUGACAUCCUGGGCCACACACGUGCUACAAUGUGGGGACAAAGAGCAGCUAACUCGCGAGAGU